This 969-nucleotide long non-coding RNA is filed under the name Pan troglodytes (chimpanzee). RNAcentral's name for it is "long non-coding RNA NONPTRT012423". The record is from RNAcentral. Lineage: Eukaryota; Metazoa; Chordata; Mammalia; Primates; Hominidae.
CAGAGGGCCCCAGGCGCCUAGGGAGUCGUUACCGCCCUGGCAUUCAAAUAACUCCCGCGAGAGGCGGAAAUCCCGCGAGACUGCCGACAGAGCGUAGGGAAGUGGAAAAGUGGAGCCUGCACCGCCCGCUCUCGGCACCCCCGGACACCGCCCCGGUCUCACGCAUGCGCAGAGGGCCGAUCCAGUUCUUUCCGGCUGGAAUGGGGAAUUUGUGAGGUAGGCCGGAAGUGGUGUUGCGGAGGGAACUGUGGGGAGAGCAGAGGGGCAGCUCUGCUGGAGAGACCUGAGGCUUGCAUCGCUGGGCCCGGCCGGGUCGCUGCGGCUGGGCUGGAGGUGAGGCGAAAGAAGGGCAUCCUCUGAUGGGAGUGGACCGGAGUCCGCUAAAGCGAAGCAUUCCAGGGUUCGUUGCGGGAAAUACAGUCUGGUUUUGCCCCCCGUAUGAAUUGAGGGAAGGUCAAGGAUGCAUUCCAGGAAAGUUCUAUAAAAAUAUACCAUCAACUCCAACCUGAUAUUUGACCUAGCCAUGGAAAACCUCAUUGGCUCCUCACUGGAUCAGACCAUAAAAAUGAUCCAGGAAUGAAAAUCUAAGAUAAAUUCCCACCACUUCAAGAUGUUCUUAUACAAGUCAACAGUCUAGCAGAUCAGCCAGUCUCUUUCAUCAUCAAGCAGACAUACUCAAGAAAGAGGAAUAGUGAAGUGAAAUACACAGAAGCAUGUUCAAGUUCAUCUGUUGAAUCUGGAAUUGUGAAUAGUGACAAUAUUGAGAAAAAUACUGACUCCAAUCUGCAAACUUCAACUUCAUUUGAGCCACAUUUCAAAAAGAAAAAAGUAAGUGCAAGACGUUAUAAUGAAGAUUACUUAAAAUAUGGCUUUAUCAAAUGUGAAAAACCCUUUGAAAAUGACAGACCUCAGUGUGUUAUUUGUAAUAAUAUUCUUGCGAAUGAAAGCUUAAAACCUUCGAAAUUAAAA